Molecule: ribosomal RNA, 254 nt
Filed under: uncultured bacterium
Lineage: Bacteria
Description: partial 16S ribosomal RNA
Rfam family: Bacterial small subunit ribosomal RNA
Source: RNAcentral
UACGUAGGAUCCGAGCGUUAUCCGGAAUGACUGGGCGUAAAGAGUUGCGUAGGUGGUUUGUUAAGCGAGCAGUGAAAUCUUGGGGCUCAACCUCAAGGCUAUUGCUUGAACUGGCAGACUAGAGUGCGAUAGAGGUAACUGGAAUUCCAAGUGUAGGAGUGAAAUCCGUAGAUAUUUGGAGGAACACCAAUGGCGUAGGCAGGUUACUGGAUCGCAACUGACACUGAUGCACGAAAGCGUGGGGAGCAAACGGG